AAACAACCUGUUGGGGGAAGGAAGAGGCAACAAAUUGAUGAAGCGGAACCUAAUGAAGAAGACAUCAACUUAAUAGCCCCCCACCCACUUGAGGAAUAUGAUGAAAACCAUCUUCUAAUGCCUAGAACAAAAUCUGAAGAAGCUUAUCUACAAAGGCUACAAAGGAGACAAAGACCACAACAACCAACUGGGAGUAGAGUUAUAAUUUUGAGAGGUAAUAGAUAUGGUGUUAGUGAACCAACUAACCUUUCAAUAUCACCAAGUGAAUUAACUUGGAAGGGGAAAGAUGCAG
This 292-nucleotide long non-coding RNA is filed under the name Capsicum annuum. RNAcentral's name for it is "long non-coding RNA (CANN_LNC014095)". Lineage: Eukaryota; Viridiplantae; Streptophyta; Magnoliopsida; Solanales; Solanaceae. The record is from RNAcentral.